Molecule: ribosomal RNA, 805 nt
Filed under: Salmonella enterica subsp. enterica serovar Newport
Lineage: Bacteria; Pseudomonadati; Pseudomonadota; Gammaproteobacteria; Enterobacterales; Enterobacteriaceae
Description: partial 23S ribosomal RNA
Rfam family: Bacterial large subunit ribosomal RNA
Source: RNAcentral
ACAGGGUGACAGCCCCGUACACAAAAGCGCAUGUGCUGUGAGCUCGAUGAGUAGGGCGGGACACGUGGUAUCCUGUCUGAAUAUGGGGGGACCAUCCUCCAAGGCUAAAUACUCCUGACUGACCGAUAGUGAACCAGUACCGUGAGGGAAAGGCGAAAAGAACCCCGGCGAGGGGAGUGAAAAAGAACCUGAAACCGUGUACGUACAAGCAGUGGGAGCACAGGUUUACCUGUGUGACUGCGUACCUUUUGUAUAAUGGGUCAGCGACUUAUAUUCUGUAGCAAGGUUAACCGUAUAGGGGAGCCGAAGGGAAACCGAGUCUUAACCGGGCGUUAAGUUGCAGGGUAUAGACCCGAAACCCGGUGAUCUAGCCAUGGGCAGGUUGAAGGUUGGGUAACACUAACUGGAGGACCGAACCGACUAAUGUUGAAAAAUUAGCGGAUGACCUGUGGCUGGGGGUGAAAGGCCAAUCAAACCGGGAGAUAGCUGGUUCUCCCCGAAAGCUAUUUAGGUAGCGCCUCGUGAAUUCAUCUCCGGGGGUAGAGCACUGUUUCGGCUAGGGGGCCAUCCCGGCUUACCAACCCGAUGCAAACUGCGAAUACCGGAGAAUGUUAUCACGGGAGACACACGGCGGGUGCUAACGUCCGUCGUGAAGAGGGAAACAACCCAGACCGCCAGCUAAGGUCCCAAAGUCAUGGUUAAGUGGGAAACGAUGUGGGAAGGCCCAGACAGCCAGGAUGUUGGCUUAGAAGCAGCCAUCAUUUAAAGAAAGCGUAAUAGCUCACUGGUCGAGUCGGCCUGCGCG